CAUCCAAUGUCCUCCAUGGGAGACCCAGAUGAAGCUGCUGGCUUCAGCCUGGCCCAGCCACUGCUCUACAGCCAAUCGGGGAGUGAACCAGGAGGUGGAAGAUCUGUGUCUUUCCCUCUCUCUGUGACCCUACCAUUCAAAUAAAUACAUAAAUAUAAAAAAAAGCUAGAACCAUGUCAUUUAGAGAUAGAAUAAGAGUAUUUCAAAAAGUACAGGGAAAAAAUGAAAUAAAAAGAUGGGUGUAGUAAAAAAUUUUGAAAUCUGUGUAUCUGAUGGAAUCUUCAAAAAGUUCAUGGAAAGUGUGUGUUAUUAAAAAAUCUAGCAUGAUUUUUCUAAAUUUGCUUUUACAUCAAAGUAAACAUCUUUUAAUUCUGUUGUUUCAUGCCAUUUUGAAGUUCCCGCCAAGGUUCCUGGAUGGGGAGAUGAGUUAGGAAUCAUGGUAUCCAACCGGGAGGAACCCUAGUUGCAGACUUGAAGCAGGAAUUCCCCAGCUGUCCUGUGGGGAUGGACUUUGCUGAAUUACAGUCCUCCCAGCUGAGAAGAAAGGUCAAGAACUAUGAAUGUGGAGAGAUUAACACCUUAGGCCUCCUCGGGUCAGAUAAUACUUUUGCCUGCUGAGAAAGCAUUCCCUUGAGCUGUGGCAUUGGCAGCCAGAAGGGCAGCCUGGUUUCCUGCAGAAAUGUUAAGUGUCCACCAACUGGUGACUAGGACAAUGGCUUGUAGCCACCUGUUCUGGCUCUGCCACUGCCUCCACAGGGUCAGCAUCUCAGCUGCGUACUUAGCAUCCUUAUCCCUGUUGUCAGGAGCCCCCUUUCCUUCCAGAUAGCACCAAGAGCCUGCACAACUGGAGACACGUCUGGUGUCUGUGCCAAUAUUUACCUUGUAUGGUGUCUGUGCCAAUAUUGACCUUCUUUCCUUUUGGGAGCUGGAGAGCUCUUGUCAGAGUGAGCAGCUCAGCCGUCCGGGCUGCAGUCCUUGGUGGCUGCUCACCCAGCCCUCCAUUGCCCAUUACCAAUACCCUGGCUCCAUUAGGAGAAGAGGGCCUAGUCGUCUUGGCAGGGGCUGCUCCAACAGGUCCAUUUUGCUGGAGAAACAGUCUCAAAUAUUUGCAGACAGUCCAGAUGAAUGAACGCAUUUUCAUGGAUAGGCAGGAGAGUGGCAGGACUCAGAGUGCACACAGCCUGGAGCUUCACCUUUAGAUUAUCUGAGGGACAGCCUGGCAUUUGCCUAAUUAUCCUUCUGGUGACCAAAUGAUCCCCAUGUCCAAGGCCAGCCAGGAAGCAUCUCCUAUGGUUACUGAUUCUGUCAAUGUCUCCAUCUACAGUAGGGUCCCAACCAGGCUGUAGGGUUGGGCUGGAAGCUGCGUGAUUGAGAGUGGGCCUGGGGUCUCAUCAUUGAGUGGUUGGUGUUUUUUUUUUUUUGGCUCUGUCCAUAACAAACCUUUGCUCACUAGCAGGAAGCAGAAUGUGUAGCAAGAGCCAUCUGUGUAUAUGCCCAAGUGGAGUGAUGUGUUGAAAGAUAUGAUGGGGCCUGCAUUGUGGCAUAGCAGGUAAAACCUCUGCCUGCAGGGCCAGCAUCCCAUAUGGGUACCAGUUCAAGACCUGGCUGUUCCUCUUCUGAUCCAGCUCUCUGCUGUGGCCUGGGAAAGAGAUAGAACAUGGCCCAAGUCCUUGGGCCCUGCACCCAAAUGGGAAGACUUGGAAGUAGCUCCUGGCUCCUGGCUUCGGAUCAGCGAGGCACUAGCCAUCAUGGCAAAUUGGGGCGUGAACCAGUAGAUGGAGGAUCUCUCUCUCUCUCUCUCUCUCUCUACUUCUGCUUCUCUCUCUGUGUAACUCUGACUUUCAAAUAAAGAGUAUCAUAAAAAAAGAAAGAUAUGGUAAACAACUCAGUGAUUUUCUGAGGUUUUUCUCUGUACAUUAGGUAGAAGAACAACUUUAGGUCCAGUAAUAGUGGGCUGGCUGCCCCUCUGCAUUCCAACUUCCUAUAGGAUGUUACUGCACCACCCUGGCUACUGGCACCCUUGGCCAAAUAUGGUUUCCUGCCUCAUUUUGAAGGGAGGGAGAGCAUUUCCAUCGUGGGUCAUAAUCAGGUGGUUCCCCUCCUGUUGUACACUCCUGUUCAGGGUGGACCUGAAGAGAGAGCUUUAGGAAUGAAAGCUUUGAUGUGUAUUUGUUUUCUUCUUGAGGAGAGCAGGUCAAAGGCAUUUGUUUGCCUGUUGGUUGAAUUGUGUGUUCAUAAAGUUUGUGUAUAAAAAUAUAUAAUGAAUUUAAGCCCUAAGUAGUCUUACUACUUUACUAGAAGUGUUCAUAUGUAUAACAGAUAUCCUUAAAAAACAGAUCUCAUUUAAGGUGGGAUCCAGGUGAAUAAAUUUGAAAAACAGUUUUUCUCCUUGAGAGUAGCGGUUUUUGAUGAUCCAAAGAUAGUUGGAGCCUGGUGGACUAUCUCUGAAUUUUAUCAAUCCUUAUUUUCAUCUGGGAUAAAACAAUAACAUAAACACACCAGGAAGAAUAGGCUGUUAGGGCAAUAGAUGUCGUAUCUACUAAUUGUUUCUUUUUUUCCAAUGAUGGCUUCUGUAGAGUUGUGUCCCUGGCAGAGUUUUGUGAUUGCCAUUAUCAAACAAUCAUGAAUGUCCUUUUUUGCAACCUCUUGGUGUCAGGAGUUAGAAGGGUUAACAGGCAGUUAGGAAGAACCCCUGUGGGAAUAAGGAAUCAGGUGUUCCUGUGAAAGCUGCCAUUCACUGAUUAAACAAAAGACAUUGCCCAUUGAAAAUGAAAAGACUGAUAGGGAACAUGAUGGGUCCCACACUCAUAGAUAACCCGAUGAGAAACUGGACUCUGGCUUCAUAACAGAGCACACCACUAAGCAACAUGUCUCAAGUGCUUAGCAACUGAUGAGCUAGGUAUAACCUGCCUUCACUGUUCAGGUCAACUGUGUUUCUAAUUAGUCACAUCUUCCAAGGGGUGGACAUGGUAAUGUUUGUUAGCUGGCCAGGAACCAUCACUGCUACACAAAAGGCACAGAAAAACACAGCAGGUUCCAGAAUUGUGGCACAGUCAGGUAAGCUGCCACCUGCAACACCAGAAGCCCAUCUGGGCACGAGUUCACGAGCUCUGGCUGCUCCACUACCAAUCUCAAUCCCAACUAAUGUGCCAGGAAAGCAGUGAGAUGGCCCAGUUCCUUGGGCCCCUGCACCCAUGUGGGAGACCCAGAUGAAGCUUCUGGCAUUGGCCUGGCCCAGCCCAGUCUGUUGUGACCAGAUGGAAGCUCUCUCUUCAUAACAUUCAAAUCAAUAAAUAAAUCAUAAAAAAACAAAAUGACUCCUGAUGUAUCAGAAGCAUGUAGAAGAAUUGAUUACCUCAUAAGCUCUUCCUAUAUAAGCUCCUAAUAUCCAGCCCUUGAUGGCUCCCCCUCUGGAGUACCCCUCUGGUAUGUAAGAGUCUCUGUCUCCCAGUAAAAUCUACUUUCCUUGCUUUUCUCUUCCCCAUUUGUGUCCUCAUCCUAAUUCUUCAUCAGCACGAGAUACAGAAUCAACCCCAAAUUCCUGUAACAUCAGUCUUAUGUGUUUUAUUUUAGGGGUGACACUAGUGACUUCAUCUUAACCCUUUAUCCCCUCUGCUCACUUACUGUCUUUAAACAAAACUGAUCAGUCAUCCUGUAGCUAGUUUUGUUUAUCCCUUGUUGUCAGGACAGAAUUGUCCUGGUUGUUGGUCUGAUUUUGUCCCCUACUCAAGGGUACAUGAUUGACAGCCAAGAGUCAGUGCCAAAAAUCCUUUUGGUCACAUUUUUAAGCAGUAGACAUUUUGGAAGAAGGGGACCUUGGGUGUCCUUUACCUGGAGUCCUUUGGUAAAAUUAACCGUUUCAGUUUGUGAUAAGAGAGCCAUCAUCUCUAAGCCAGCAUUAUCUUGAGGGAAUUGUAGUUUUUGACAGGCAAUAGACAUAAAGUUCACGAGAGAACACAGAGCAGACCACCAUGAGCACAACAGACCAGGUUUGUGUCCCCAGAACAAUGGACAGAGUUCCAUCCAACAGCAGGUGUAUUGUAGUUUGUUGAUUGCCUGUUUGCACCAAGUAUAGUACCAGAAGCCCCUUUGUCAUUUAAUAACCUCAGAUUUGGAAGACUCUCAAAGUUAAACAGUCAAUGCAAGACAUGUUUUUUUGUUUUGUUUUGUUUUGUUUUGUUUUUUUAAACUAACAUGCCUGCUCUUUUGAGGUUUUAUGGCUUACUGUGAAAUUUCAGCUUUCUUUAUUCACUGAACUCUGGAAGGCUGGGAACCCAGGAAGUCAGGCAUUCCGAGUGUGAUAUUUGGACAUGUCAAUGUUUUUAAUUAUAUCCUAUUAAUACAAGAACAGAUUUUUACUGAACUCAUGUAAACCACACAUUGCCAUGAAAAAUCUUACAAAAGUUUUUGGAUUUUGGGUAGACUCAGAGGGAAAGGGAAUUGUUUUUACCUCUGUUUGCAAAACUGUAUUUCACCAAAGCAGUGUAUACCAUAGGAAUCACAAGAAAAUCUUUAACCUAGAAGAAGAGGUCUCUACGUGCAGAACCAACAAUGGCUUAUGGAAGACACAGACACACACAAUAAGUUCACGUUGCUGCCUCUCCUGUAACUGCUUCUUGUCCUGCGUGAUCUCCAUUAGCAGGUCUGUGAAUCCAUCAGUGUCCUUACCAGUUUUUGGAAAGGUUAGUGUGUUCACUGAGCUUUAGUCAGACAACCUGUAUUUACAAACAUCUGUUUGUAGUCUCCUUUGAUUGUGUUUUCAGAGAAGAACCACAACUGUGGAUGACUAAAGAUGUGAAAGCAUCAUGAUUAAAACUUGGAUAGAAUUUGGCAAACAGUUCAAAAGCACAGGAGAGUUUUGCGACCUUUCUGUCCUUCAGGUAGGGGCCUGUGGUGGGAGGGGCACUUGUGAAAGCGUCCCAGAGCCCCCAGGUCCUUGUUAUUACUAAGCUCACAAUCAUGCCUGACGACAUCGAAUCAGAACCAGCAGGCCUGUAUGAAAGUCCAAGAACACUAGAAUAGUGUAUCAGCAACGCACCUAUAGCAAUGCGACUUGGCGUUUGUUUGUUCUAUAACUUGAGAGUACUUUCUGUGCAAUCCACCUGAGCCUCAUCUGCUUGAUCUCUGUAGGGUGAGAGCUGCAUCCAUGAAGACUUCCGGGGGCCCAGCUGCAAAUCCCAAGCUCAGAGACCUUAAUUUGAAACUUUGAUUGAGAAAGCCUGACUACAAUAUCCAAAGUUUCCAAACGCUUGGUCAAAAAUAGGAUCCCUGACCCCUGUGAGAAACACUCAUCAUCCAUUCAGCCAGGGUGAUUUCACCUGAGUUACAGACCAGAGUAAAUUGCAGCAACAAAAUACAAAAUCUUUUCCCCCUUUUGGUCCCUCACCAACAGAGGCCAUGGUAAGACCUGGACUAGAAGCAUGAGUGUAAGAAACUGUCUCACUGUUUGGAACAAUGUAAAGACAUCAGGAAAGACCAGAGGUAAAGAAUGAAAUGGUCCUGUUCUCCUAGGUUCCAAGACAAACAUUUUUAGUGUCCGUUUCUAGCAGGGUGAGAACCAGGGAGGAGAAACAGCUCACAGGCGCUGCCCAGAGAGUCAAGGGCGUCCCAAGUACACAGACACUGUGGAAAUCAGAAGCUGCAGUUUAGAAGAUUAGAGAACAGAUUUUACAAUUAAAGAUCAAGGCAUCUUGUAAUACGUAUUAAUAUGUCUGCAUCUUAAGAAAACCUGAUUCCUUUAGUGUAGGGGGCCAAAUUUUUGUUAACAUUAGAACAUUGUUAAUGGCACAGUUUUCAGAAACUUAUAUAUGGGAUUUUAUUUUCAUCUGAGCCAAAUUAAUCUCAUAGAUGCAUGUUUCAUACAUUUUCUACAACAUUUCUAUAAUUGUUCAGUAUUUGUCUUAUUUUUUUUUCCUAGUAUUACAGCAGCCAUGUGGGUUCUGGUCAAAUGUUUAUUUAUUUAAAACAUAUCUCUCAUAUCUCACAUAUUUACCAAUCAAAAACAUAAUUUUAUACUUGGAAUUUUUACUGUUCUCUACUUAUUCGUUUUUUAUUUAUACUUAGAAGCAUUUAAGUUGGUUAAAUUUAUCUAUUGUUGGGGAUCGGUGCUGCGGCUUAGCAGGUUAAUGCCCUGGCCUGAAGCGCUGGCAUUCCCUAUGGGGGCUGGUUCUAGUUCUGGCUGCUCCUCUUCUGAUCCAGCUCUCUGCUGUGGCCUGGGAAAGCAGUAGAAGAUGGCCCAAGUCCUUGGGCCUCUGCACCCAUGUGGGAGACCCAGAAGAGGCACCUGGCUUCAGAUCAGUGUACCUUGGCCAUUGUGGCCAUCUGGGGAGUGAGCCAACGGAUGGAAGAUCUCUCUCGGUCUCUGCCUCUCUCUUUAACUCUGUCUUUCAAAUAAAUAUAAUAAAUCUUUAAAAAAAUAAAUUUAUCUGUUGUUAAUAAUCAUACAUGGAUUACUUACGAAGACUGAGAUUUUUAAACAGAUACAGUCAUUGUUGCCUGAGAAUGGCAGGGCCCUUGUCUUCGCGCAAGAAAGAAUUCAGGUGUGAGACAGAGAGUAGUGGAAAGCAAAAUAGCAAGGUUUAUUAGGGCAGGGACAUCUGUAAGAACGGAUGGGCACCUCUCCAGACAGGACCUGAGAGAGAGUGCCCAGUCGCUCAGACUUGGGAAGAGCGAGGCUGCUUGGCUGAGUGGAGAGUACACCUGGGCAGGCCAGGUGGGCGACUCAGCAGAGAGGCAGAGGGCUGAGUGCGCAGUCCGGUUGAGGCCAGGGGUUUUUAAGGGGAUGGGCCUUGCCUUCCCCUCUUCUCCUACUGGAACAAAGGACUUUUUGGAUGUAAAUACUAAAAAUUCCUUUCUGAGUUUUCCCUGCUGAAGUUAUCAGACAGGAGGAAGACUGGCUCAGCCCUGGCUGUUGCAGGCAUUUGGGGAAUGAACCAGAGGAUAAAAGUUAUCUCUAUUUCUGUCUUUCUCAAUCUCUCUCUCUCUCUCUCUCUCUCUCUCUCUCAAAUCAAUAAAUAAGCAAUAAAAACAUGGUUCAAUGAUUAAUCUUUAAAUAUUGCUAAAACAUUGCUAUGUCUGUCCGAUGACCAUUUGACAAAAACAGGAGGCUCUGCCACACACGGAGACCAGUGACCGCCAUCAUGACCACAGAUAAACAGCACUGUGCUGUAGGUCAGUGACGUCUCUGAUCAUAGGCUGAAGUAUGGCCAAAACGUGGGGCUGAAAAACAGGGAUUGAAGAAGAUACAGAGAUAUCUUGCCAUGUAGGUGAACGACAGUGAAAACAGAACGCAUACAAAGCAAGAUAGAGUGUUCAAAUGCAAACAGUUGGAGCAACAACUGUCUUGGAAGAUUGCUAUGAUUUAGGAAGAUAAGAUUGCAGAGAUCUGUUCAUUGCAGAGUGUGUCAGCAGCUCUCCCCCAUGACUAGUACUAACCAGCUAGAGAACGGAUCUCAGUCUAAAUUCCGCCUGAUAGCACCUGCCUACUCACCACGCGGGCAUUAGACUCAGUGUCAAGACCAUGCAGGCAUCUGUUGGACAGAGUUUAUUCAACCAAUGGCCUCCUUGCCCAGCACGUCUCUAUACAAUUUUUGAUGCCUUUUUAAGAGAUUGAUUUAUUUGUAUGAAAUGCAGAGUUAUGGAAGAAGUGGAAGAGACAGAUAUAAAGAGCACUUCCACCCAUUGGUUCACUCCCCCAACUGGCCACAAGGGCAAGGGCUGGGCCAGGCUGACGUCAGAGGCCUGAAACUCUGUCUGGGUCUCCCAUGGGGGUGGCAGGGGCUCAAGAGGUUUGGCCAUCUUCUCUGCUUUCCCAAGUGCAUUAGCAUGAAGUUGGAUCAGAAGUGGAGCAGCCGGGACUUGAACCAGUACUCAGAGGCACUGCUAUCGUCACAGGAGGCAGCUUAACCCGCUGUACAAAACACUGACCCUUGUAUUUUUUUAAUAAUCAGAUUUUUUGUUGUUCUCAUAGGUAUUAGAUAGUUCAUUGGAGCAUACUCAGGAAGCAGUUAUGAGGCAUUUGUACCCUUGAACUUGCUGUUUCUCCUUACAGUUCAUAGCCAAUGAUUCUGAGAUGAUGAACAUAGGAAUGGAGAAGUUUCCUCAAGUGACAGAUUCCCACCAUUCUCCAAUGCCAUGAGAUCCUGCUCUGCAACCCCAAACUGAGCACAAGGCAGCACCCCAGCGUCAGUGGGGAGAUCAGAGCCUACGCAGAAGCUACAGUGUGAACAUGCAGAAGGGAAGAGGGAGAACAAGUCGGAUCAGAAGACGAAAACGCUCCAAAGGUUCUCAGACAAGAGGAGUGAAUGAGAGCUACAAGUCUGAAUUUAUAGAUCUACAGAAGUGGCUGAAAGACAGGAAGUUUGAAGAUAAAAACUUAGCACCUGCUCGUUUCCCAGGUACAGGAAGAGGGCUGAUGAGCACCGUGUCCUUGCAGGAGGGACAGAUGAUUAUUUCGUUGCCUGAGAGUUGCCUGCUCACCACGGACACAGUGAUUGAAAGCUACUUAGGGCCGUACAUUACUAAGUGGAAGCCUCCUCCGUCUCCUCUGCUGGCUCUGUGCACAUUUUUAGUUUCAGAAAAGCAUGCUGGGGACCGGUCUCCCUGGAAGCCUUACCUGGAAAUUUUGCCCAAGGCCUACACCUGCCCUGUUUGUUUGGAUCCUGAAGUGGUGAAUCUUCUGCCCAAACCUUUACAAAUGAAGGCUGAGGAACAGAGAGCCCGUUUGUGGGAGUUCUUUGCUUCCUCCAGGGGCUUUUUCUCUUCCCUGCAGCCUCUGUUUGUGGAGCCCAUUGACAGCAUCUUCAGCUACAGUGCCCUCUUGUGGGCCUGGUGUACUGUCAACACCAGAGCUGUGUACCUGAGGCGCAGGCCGCGGGAGUGCCUGUCUGCUGAGCCCGACACCUGCGCACUUGCUCCGUACCUGGAUCUGCUGAAUCACAGCCCACAUGUCCAGGUAGAAGCAGCGUUUAAUGAGGAAACUCGUUGUUAUGAAAUUAGAACGGCUUCAAGGUUUAGAAAACACGAAGAGGUUUUCAUCUGCUACGGCCCUCAUGACAACCAGCGGCUGCUCCUGGAGUAUGGCUUUGUUUCCGUCCGUAACCCUCAUGCUUGUGUUUAUGUCUCAGGAGAAAUACUUGUUAAAUAUCUUCCACCAACAGAUAAACAGCUGAACAAAAAGGUUGCCAUUUUAAAGGACCAUGGUUUUAUAGAAAAUCUGACGUUUGGUUGGGAUGGACCAUCCUGGAGGCUGCUCACAGCUCUCAAGUUGUUAUGUCUGGAACCUGAAAAAUUUACAUUCUGGAAAAAGGUACUUCUUGGGGAAGUAAUUUCAGAUACAAAUGAGAAGACAAGUUUGGACAUAACCCGGAAGAUAUGCUGUGACUUCAUAGAGGAGACCUGCUCUGUGCUUCAGAAGAUUUCCCAGAUGAAGGAUGACAGCGUGGCUUUGCUGCCCCAGCUCGCUCUGGUGGAAACGCUGUGGAUGGAAGAGCUCCAGAUCCUCAGAGUGUCUGCCGAGGUCCUGGGCACUUCGCACACAACCGCUACCUGACCUCCGUCACCUCCUGCACACAACCGCUACCUGACCUCCACGCGAUCCCUCCGUCACCUCCUGUGGAGCGUCUCUGUGGAUGGCGUGGUGGCCGCUCCCAGGACACGGGAGGAUGCCUGUGGGGUGGAGCAGGUGCCAGGGCUGCUGGCUGGGAGUGACGACGGCUGGGUCCGCUGAGGGACGCCCUGUGAACUCUGCCGAGUAAGCAGCAGUCCCAGAGCAUGCACGAGGAAAGUCCUGAGCUGCAGGAAGCGAGGAGACCGAGGGAGCCAGGAGCCAACCGGGACGUGGAGUGGUCUGGCACUGCGUGAACUGUUCUUACUUGACUUAGCAGCUGGCAGAGGGCAAGAAGCUGUGCUCUCAGGGUGCCCUGAUCCCGUUGGGUGAAGGGGCAAGUUGGCGCUGGGUGGUUUUGGGCGGCCAGUCCCAGCCCGUGUGGCUCUCAGCUUCCAGUCCUGCCCUCUGUGGGAUGCUGACUUGCACGUGGAGGAGCCCUGGGGGGCCUGGGGUCCAGGAGGCGGGAAUCCCCCUUCAGCCUGCUCCUGGCCUUUGGCACACCCCAGGCAGGGCCUGUGAAAUACGAACUGGGGAGAAGGGCUGGCUCAGCCGUACAGAUCUUCCACCUUAACUUCUGGUGUCCUGGACAGGCCUUUCCUGGCUGCAUGCGGGGCUGGGCUCGGUGGAGGUCAGCAGACCCAAAGCUACCCUCAGACUGGGGCCUGUGUUCUUACUCUUGAUUUUGUUUUUUAUCCACUGUAGACUCAGUGGAUACUCAGGGGACACUCCCUCCAUAACUGUCCGUGACCUGAGGGGGCUCCCUGCAGAGCUAACGGAGCCAGACUUGCAGAGGUUGGGGUGGCCUGUGUGGGGGAUGCCCCGGGGAAACCUUGCUGCUGCCCAGAGCCCUUCUGUUUUCCCUGCUGAGUGUUCCUUCUUCCCAGAACUUUCCCAGUGUGGCGCUCAACAAAACCCAGUGAAUAGGGCCCCUUGCGUCUAGUGACAGAGUCUAAAUAAACUGUUUUCAUUGUCAUGGCUUAAA
Oryctolagus cuniculus (rabbit) is the source of this 10589-nucleotide non-coding RNA. The record is from RefSeq and is a predicted model, not a curated record. NCBI's taxonomy places the organism in Eukaryota, Metazoa, Chordata, Mammalia, Lagomorpha, Leporidae.